Molecule: ribosomal RNA, 512 nt
Filed under: Bacillus mojavensis
Lineage: Bacteria; Bacillati; Bacillota; Bacilli; Caryophanales; Bacillaceae
Description: bacterial SSU rRNA
Rfam family: Bacterial small subunit ribosomal RNA
Source: RNAcentral
UCGAGCGGACAGAUGGGAGCUUGCUCCCUGAUGUUAGCGGCGGACGGGUGAGUAACACGUGGGUAACCUGCCUGUAAGACUGGGAUAACUCCGGGAAACCGGGGCUAAUACCGGAUGCUUGUUUGAACCGCAUGGUUCAAACAUAAAAGGUGGCUUCGGCUACCACUUACAGAUGGACCCGCGGCGCAUUAGCUAGUUGGUGAGGUAAUGGCUCACCAAGGCAACGAUGCGUAGCCGACCUGAGAGGGUGAUCGGCCACACUGGGACUGAGACACGGCCCAGACUCCUACGGGAGGCAGCAGUAGGGAAUCUUCCGCAAUGGACGAAAGUCUGACGGAGCAACGCCGCGUGAGUGAUGAAGGUUUUCGGAUCGUAAAGCUCUGUUGUUAGGGAAGAACAAGUACCGUUCGAAUAGGGCGGUACCUUGACGGUACCUAACCAGAAAGCCACGGCUAACUACGUGCCAGCAGCCGCGGUAAUACGUAGGUGGCAAGCGUUGUCCGGAAUUAUUG